UACGGAGGGUGCGGGCGUUGUCCGGAAUCACUGGGCGUAAAGGGCGCGUAGGUGGCGACCCAAGUCAACGGUGAAAGCUCGACGCUCAACGUCGAGUCGGCCGUCGAUACUGGGUUGCUCGAGCACUGUAGAGGCAGAUGGAAUUCCGGGUGUAGCGGUGGAAUGCGUAGAGAUCCGGAAGAACACCGGUGGCGAAGGCGGUCUGCUGGGCAGUAGCUGACACUGAGGCGCGACAGCGUGGGGAGCAAACAGG
This 253-nucleotide ribosomal RNA is filed under the name uncultured bacterium. Its description in RNAcentral is "partial 16S ribosomal RNA". It matches the Rfam family "Bacterial small subunit ribosomal RNA", at positions 524 to 776 of the family's 1533-position model. The record is from RNAcentral.